Molecule: ribosomal RNA, 468 nt
Filed under: uncultured bacterium
Lineage: Bacteria
Description: partial 16S ribosomal RNA
Rfam family: Bacterial small subunit ribosomal RNA
Source: RNAcentral
GACGAACGCUGGCGGCGUGCUUAACACAUGCAAGUCGAACGGAAAGGCCCUGCUUUUGUGGGGUGCUCGAGUGGCGAACGGGUGAGUAACACGUGAGUAACCUGCCCUUGACUUUGGGAUAACUUCAGGAAACUGGGGCUAAUACCGGAUAGGAGCUCCUGCUGCAUGGUGGGGGUUGGAAAGUUUCGGCGGUUGGGGAUGGACUCGCGGCUUAUCAGCUUGUUGGUGGGGUAGUGGCUUACCAAGGCUUUGACGGGUAGCCGGCCUGAGAGGGUGACCGGCCACAUUGGGACUGAGAUAAGGCCCAGACUCCUACGGGAGGCAGCAGUGGGGAAGAUUGCACAAUGGGCGGAAGCCUGAUGCAGCAACGCCGCGUGCGGGAUGACGGCCUUCGGGUUGUAAACCGCUUUCGCCUGUGACGAAGCGUGAGUGACGGUAAUGGGUAAAGAAGCACCGGCUAACUACGUG